UAUAAGCAUGAAAGCAAUUAAACAACAAUAUUUUUAAAGUUUUCCAAAAUAAAGAACAAUCCUAAAAUUACCAAACAUUGCAUAUAUUCCCCGACAACGACGCCAAAAUUUGAUAAGCGAAUCUGUCGCAUCCGUUAAUCAAAUUAUGCAAAUAUAUAUUCCACUCAACCCCUUAUCUACACAAUAAUGUUGUAGUAACGAGCCCAGGAUCGAACCUCGAGGAACAAACGAUAGGAUGUAAUCUUAGGAUCGUAUUUAUUCCUAUUUUUGGGAUUUUUAAUAUGAAAAUGGGGGUUUGAACUUUGAAUCUAAAUCUAACAAAAUUAAAGAACAGAAAAUAAGAACUAAUCUAAUGCAUAAAGUAAACCUAACUAGGUGUCACCGAUUAGUCCAAUACGCAUUGUCACACUACGUAAUGAAUUUCAUCAACAACACACUAAAACUAAGGUAUGAAAUAGCUGGACAAUAAUGAAACCUAAUCUUAAGCAACAAUUACAAUCUUAACUACCGAAACUAAACCACUCAACAGUGCUACAAUUAAGCUAAAGCAGAAUUAAGAACAAUUUCAAACUCUAUUGAAACUAAAUUACCCAAUGCACUUGAAUUAAAACAAUUAAUCUAAAGAACUAUGAUUACUGAAUCAAAAUAUAAUAAACUGAAAUGUAAAUCUAUCAAUAGUAAAAAGAAUGCAAAAGUUAAAUCCUAAACCAUCUCAACACUAAAUCUCUUCUCACGGCAACUUCUCCUUGCUGUCACACAAGGAAACAACAGAGAACACUCCAACUGUAAUCGGGGAAGACAACCUCAGCAACUAAACUCAGCUCAUCCUUCACCAGCACCAUCGGAGACCACUCCAAACAAAUCUGAUUAAGAUCGAUGCUGCCAACCUCAGGAAAUCUGCAAAUCUGCGACUGCAACCUCAUUGUUUUAGUUUUUCUAUAAUUCUUGUGAAUACAAUCUAGCUAUUUAGUAAUGGAAGCUUAAGAAGUUGCAGAAUCAGGAAGAGGAACAAUUUCAGAAUGUAGAAGCAGUGACGUAUCAAAACUGAUAGUAUACAAAUUCAGAUUCCAAAAGUUAGGAAGAUGCAGCAGUGUGUGAAAUGCUAGUGUGCCAAAUUUUGUUGUUGAAACUGAUGUCUGCAAUCAGAACUCUGAUUCUGAUUUCUGUUGGUCUACAAAAUUGCAAGUGAUGUUGAAUUGUUGUGUGUCAAACUUAAAUUGUAAAUUCCUAAUCAGUAAGAAUCUUGGGAGAACACUUGAGUAGUCAUAGAUGAAACCUUUGUUCAGCUGAAUUCCCCACACUUAAACAAGUUCAGAAAUAUGAAUAUGAAUAUGAAUUUGAAUUCAGAAAAACAAGUUUAGAAGUGUAAUUCAGUUUCAAAACUUGAGAUUCAACAUAAUUCUCAAGACUCAAGGAUACAGAAACAUGGCAAAGCAAUCAGAUUCAAAGAUGUAAGUUAAGUGUUUAUAUGCUAAUGCUGAGAAUGUUCCUGAAUAGCACUCUUUAAGGGUCUAGAUCUUAAUUCUGGAAUCAAAGAUUUAAGUCUGAAAUUCUAUAGAAAUGCAUAAACUUGAUGCUGUUUCUAACCAUGCAACUCAUUUAGUUGAUUCUCCUAUCUAUUCAAUGCUAAUUGUUAUGCUUCUCUCUGGAAGAUACUGGUAAUUCAAGCUUGGAAAUUUCCUAAAAUCAGGAUUCUAUAACUUCAUUGAAACUGAUCCAGUGAAAUGAAUCAAUGAUUUCUUCAGAAUUGUUGCACAGCCAAAUGAUACUCUUUCCUAAGCUAAACCCUUCAAGUCUUAACCUGAAGCUCUCUGAGAAUUGUUUUCUUGAACUUAAAAUGUGCUCAAUAAAGCGUGACUUGGUGGAAUUCUGGAGCUAAAUCUGUGCAACCGAUUUUGAUCUGUUAAAUUCAAUUGGAAUGUUCUUUUAGAUUAACUUCUUCAAAUUUGUUUGCCUUAUUCAAAUUCCUGAAAUUUUGAAAACUUGAGAUAGCUCAAUUGGUUAAGCUUUAAUGAAUCUGAUCUCUGGAAUUCUGAAUUGCGUUGAAUUUAUUGAGCUAGAAUUGAUGAAACUUGGAAUUCUUUCAAGUAUGCAUUGAUAGUGACCUUAAGAAGUAAGAUGAAGAAAUAUUAAGAUUUUUGGUGGCUAAACAAUGCAAAAUUGAUACAAAGUCAGAAUUCUGUAUAAGGAUCCAGAUCUGAAAUUAACUGUGCUACUUGGGGUUAGAUUUGUGCCAUUGAACGAAAAUGUGAUUAAGCCUUGCUUUAGAUUAAAUGCAAAAGAGGAUGAAAAUAAAAAGAAAAUUGAAGAAAAGAGAGUGCAAAUGAAAAAGGAAUUGGCUAUUUUCUGAAAUUGAUACUGGGAAUUUGUUUCUGAAUAUGGUUUGUUAGUUCAGUUAUGGAAUUGGCUUAUGCUGGAAUUUGAAUCUAAAAAAUCAUAAAUAGAGAAAGUGCAGGAAACAUAAGUGCAGAACAUAGAAUUUGAAAUGCUGAAAUUGAAUGCAGAAAGGAAUUCUUAUUUCUGAAUUGUAUCAAGCUGUUACAAUGUUUCUUGAUCAGUAAGAGUUCAAGUAAGUCUUUGAUUUGUAAUGCAAUUGAAAAUCAGGAAUCAAAUGCAGAAUUCAUAAUGCAAUUUUAUUUCUAGUCAAGGCUGAUUCCUGAAUUUGAUGUUCAUCUAAGAAUUUGCUAGACAAUUUUUGCAACUCAUAGAACAAAUUCAGAAAUCAGCUAGCAUGAAUUAGAUAAUGAAAUCAGGGGAUGCUGGAAUUGGGAACAGAGCUGCAGAAUGGCUGUGAUUUCUGCAAAAUGUGAUUCUAGUGUCUGCAGAAAUGAAGAUAGCUGCUGUACAGGUAUCAUCUCUUGUACCAAACUCUUUGAAGCAGAUUUCAAUUAAUUGAGUAACUCAAUUAGUUGGAAUUCAUGAGCUCCAACAAAAACAAUUAUUGCAAUGUUCCAUGUCAACACUCUAAAAGGUUGCUCCUAUACUUUUAUCUGAUUUGUUUCUGCUGCAAUUGGGAGAACUUGUAACUACAGAACACUUCAGAAACAGAGGAAGAGAAUCAUUCCUCUGCAGAAAUGGAACUUAUGCAACAAUUCUGAAUUUACAAUUCAGUAUCAGAAUUUAAUAUGAAGAUGAAGAGUGUGUUUGGAAAUUGAAUGAAUUUAAAAUCAGUAGUAUGCUAAUGGUGACUGAAUUACCAGCUAGUAACUAGAAACUUGCAGAACCUGGAAUUUUCCCAGCUGUGCUACUGUGGUGAGUGCUGAAUUUCUGGAAGUUGCUGAAAUAUUUUCCUUACACUUAAGUUCAUCAAGACUUAAACUUGAAACUAACACUGAAUCUGAUUUCUGGAUUUGAAUGCUGCUGAAAGAAGUUUGUAUUUUCCUGGUUCUGAAACUGAGCUACAAAUUUCAAUAUUUGUAUUUUGGAAUCUGAUGUUGGGUAUUUUGGAUUGGAUUCCUGGGUUUCUGAGCUUGUGUUAUAAUUGGUUUUGAAUUAUUAUUCCAUCACUUAAUGUGUUGAAAAAUUCAGAAUUAUGCAUUGCACAGGAUUGAAAGAAAAUCAGAAUUCAGAUUCUGAAAUUUUAGUGGUUGUUUCUGUCCAACUUAAAUGUUGGUUUUCAAUAUCCUGUGAUGUUCCAUACGUUCCAUGAAGUCACCCUUAUUGACUCAAAAUCUGUGAAAUGUGUAGAGGUUGACAUGCAGGAACAAUUGUUCUAAGUCCAAGUGCCAAGUUCUUUGCAGAUUUCUGAUUUGUGUGUGCCAGCUUUGUAUUGAGCUCCACACUAACUCGAGGUCAUUCAUAAGCAGGGAGGGAAGUGACAAUAGCUAGGGCUGUAAAUGAACCAAACAUUCGUGAACAAGCUUGGUGUUCGGCUUGAAAUCAGAUGUGCUUGAUAAGAUAAGCAGGGAAGGGUGGUUCCUUUGUCUAAACAACUUGUAUCUUCAUUGACUUACGAUUCCAGCAAUUGAUAUUCCAGAGCUAAUGAAACCCUGUCCAAACUUGUGACACUAAUUUCUGAAGAUACUCAGUCUUACAAGAAAUGAGUAAAGUAGUUGGUUAAGGAAAGUGGCAUUGGAGGUGUUUUCUUGCAACAUGAUAAGGAGAUAAAUCAAGAUAAUGGAUAUUCUGUUGAUUUCCAAUUUGUGGAUUACUUGUUCCUUCAAUUGAUGAGCCGGCAGUUUAUAAAUGAAAUGUGAUGCAGUUGAGAUGCAGGAUUUGGGAAGCAUGCAUAAGGUGCAGAAAUUUAUCAAUGAAAUGAGGAAUAUGUUGUAUUCUGGAUUUAUGGAAAUUUGAUGUUGGAACCCUGUUUCUUGCUGAUUCUUAUUGCUGCUUAGUUCAACUAAGGUCUUCUUAAUUGCUGCUGGCAGUAUAUCCAUAAAAGCUGCAAAUGAAGAUAAGUAAAGAGUGGCUGGAAGUGUAUCAAAUUUCUGAAUGCAAGAUUUGUUUUAUUGUCCGAGACGACCAACAAUUUAAGUGUGGGGGAGGGAGCUCUUCUCUAUAAGAUGAUUGUGAUUUAAGAUUGUUUAGAUUUCAAAGUGCUGGAAAUGAAGUAAAAAAAACAGUGAAGAAAAUUUUUUUGGCAAAUCAAAGUAUAUCAAAUGUGGAGGUAGAGUAUCAAGAUUUUUGGCUGACCAUCAAAUUGAAGGGGAGGUUAGCUUGAUCUUUUGAAUUGGUAACGACAAAUGGUACCAGGUUGGUUAUGAUGUCGCUUGGAGUAUCCUGGCUGCUGGUCCCCACGUC
Zingiber officinale is the source of this 4740-nucleotide long non-coding RNA. RefSeq lists it as uncharacterized. The record is from RefSeq and is a predicted model, not a curated record. The transcript is spliced from 4 exons. NCBI's taxonomy places the organism in Eukaryota, Viridiplantae, Streptophyta, Magnoliopsida, Zingiberales, Zingiberaceae.